This 432-nucleotide ribosomal RNA is filed under the name uncultured bacterium. RNAcentral's name for it is "partial 16S ribosomal RNA". It matches the Rfam family "Bacterial small subunit ribosomal RNA", at positions 29 to 507 of the family's 1533-position model. The record is from RNAcentral.
ACGAACGCUGGCGGCAUGCCUAACACAUGCAAGUCGAACGAGACCUUCGGGUCUAGUGGCGCACGGGUGCGUAACGCGUGGGAACCUGCCCUUAGGUUCGGAAUAACUCCCCGAAAGGGGUGCUAAUACCGGAUAAUGUCUUCGGACCAAAGAUUUAUCGCCUUUGGAUGGGCCCGCGUUGGAUUAGCUAGUUGGUAGGGUAAAAGCCUACCAAGGCGACGAUCCAUAGCUGGUCUGAGAGGAUGAUCAGCCACACUGGGACUGAGACACGGCCCAGACUCCUACGGGAGGUAGCAGUGGGGAAUAUUGGACAAUGGGCGAAAGCCUGAUCCAGCAAUGCCGCGUGAGUGAUGAAGGCCUUAGGGUUGUAAAGCUCUUUUACCCGGGAUGAUAAUGACAGUACCGGGAGAAUAAGCUCCGGCUAACUCCGUG